This is a long non-coding RNA of Halichondria panicea, 3147 nucleotides long. RefSeq lists it as uncharacterized. The record is from RefSeq and is a predicted model, not a curated record. Lineage: Eukaryota; Metazoa; Porifera; Demospongiae; Suberitida; Halichondriidae. The transcript is spliced from 5 exons.
ACCUCCUCUAUGCAGCGCAGCCCGGGCCAGAGAGUGAGGCUAUGCCUAUGGCUGCCUACCUCGUGGUACACAAAUGAGUUGUCGCGCAUGUCAUGAUAGAGCACAUGUCAUUUGCACAAGACAAAGAGAGAGCAACCAGCCUGAGACGACUGUCCUUUUGGAUAACUACUCAACGCUGCACAGCACAGCAUUCAAUCACUCUCAUAAUUUUAUUGUCAUUUCAUCUUUUAUGGGGGACGCCCCACUCUUAUUAUUUUUAUCACUGAAUGGCUGCUGACGUACGUAUAUAUAAGAGCACUACAAGAUACGACAGGAAAGGAAUGCUGGCUUUCUGAUCGAGGAGGAGAUGAUCUAUUAUUGGCUAUUGGCUCCGGGGAUGGAGUGGAUCUACCUCUGAGAGACAAAGGGCCAGUUACUGUAUCAUGUAUGAAUAUUCUGUUGCUUGUACAUAUUUUCGUAACAUUAUCAGUAAUUGACUCUAGAGUAGCAUAUUGUGCUCCCCUUUCUUCAUCACUCAAUCUGCAGGCAGUGUAUGUGAUUUUCUGACAGGGAAGGCUACUCGGGAGUCGGCCACACAAGGUAUAGUCUAAUAAUUAUUGUACAGUACUUCGAUGAUCUUCUCUGUUUUGGGUCAGAUGCAAUUGCCUAUAGCCAGUUAAAACAUCUCUUCUACUCUUGGCUUAAGAAAUUGUAUUUUAUUAUUGUACCAGUAUUAGGUAGUUAACUCCACUUAUGCAUUGACCUCUACUACUGUGUAGCGGGAAAGUUCAUUAUUUGAGCCCUCGAGAAAUGUUGUAUAGUUGUUCUCAUUUCAAUGCCAGGAAACCAUAGCUUUGCAUGGUGCAUGGGAGUGUCUUCUAUUUUUAUUACAUGAAGUGUGAAGUGUGUUGUAAGUUUGUACAGACCCAUGGUGGCAAUGAUCUGAUGAUGGCUCCACUGCUCUGAUGGACCAAUGCAGGAGAAGUUAUUCUGUAUAAUUAUUACACUAAAUUAAUGUAUGCCACUGUUUGGAUCGGUUUCUGUUCUGCUCAGCUUCUUCCUCCAACUUGCUUACGCAGGCUAAGCUUAUUCUUAGUUCAUUCUUAGUUCAUUCUAUAGUCUAGUAUAUUGUCGGUUUGGUUGUUUUAUGUUUUUCACCUGGUCAUACGGAAUCACUUCAUUAUUAUCAGUGCAGACCACACCUCUAUCCACACAUUGUACCUGCACAUCCUGUAUAUAUGGGGCCACACCCCCACUCACUGUACUGAUAUGUGGUCACACCCCCAUACAUGGUAACCCUCUUGACCACACCCCCACCCAUGCAUUGUGUUGUACAUGCUGUGUUUUUGUGUACAGUACACACAUCAUCCGUGUCUUUGUCCCCACACCUAGUCGGAGGGAGCAGCAAGUUCUACUAAGAGCCAGCAUCACCAACUAACCAACACACUACAAGACCUACCUACUACCAGCUAGGACAGCACACCACCCGGGACAGACUCUACUAUACCAUGUAAUACGCCUUUGUAUUAACGAUCAUGAUACAAUUUGCUGCCCUCCCUCGCCCAUGGAUUGAAUAAUUAUGGACACUCGCAGGAGACUGACACACAAUAAUAGACACCAAAGGGCCAGUUACUGUAUCAUGUACGAAUAUUCUGUUGCUUGUACAUUUCGUAACAUUAUCAGUAAUUGACUGUAGAGUAGCUCCCCUUUCUUCAUCACUCAAUGCAGGCAGUGUAUGUGAUUUUCUGACAGGAAAGGCUACUCUAAACAGGGAGUCGGCCACACAAGGUAUAGUCUAAUAAUUAUUGUACGGUACUUAGAUGAUCUUCUCUGUUUUGGGUCAGAUGCAAUUGCCUUGAAUCACUAGCCAGUUUAAAACAUUUCUUCUACUCUUGGCUUAAGAAAUUGUAUUUUAUUAUUGUACCAGCAUUAGGUAGUUAACUCCACUUAUGCAUUGACCUCUGCGUGUAGCGGGAAAGUUCGUUAUUUGAGCCCUCGAGAAAUGUUGUAUAGUUGUUCACAUUUCAAUGCCAGGAAACCAUAGCUUUGCAUGGUGCGUGGGAGUGUCUUCCAUUUAUAUUACAUGAAGUGUGAAGUGUGUUGUAAGUUUAUACAGAGAGGACUCCCAUGGUGGGAAUGAUCUGAUGAUGGCCCCACUGCUCUGAUGGACCAAUGCAGGAGAAGUUAUUCUGUAUAAUUAUUACACUAAAUUAAUGUAUGCCACUGUUUGGAUCGGUUUCUGUUCUGCUCAGCUUCUUCCUCCAACUUGCUUACGCAGGCUAAGCUUAUUCUUAAUUAGUUCAUUCUUAGUUCAUUCUAUAGUCUAGUAUUAUUGUCGGUUUGGUUGUUUUAUGUUUUUCACCUGGUCAUACGGAAUCACUUCAUUAAUUUUUAUACAGUGCAGACCGCACCUCUAUCCACACAUUGUACCUGCACAUCCUGUAUAUAUGGGGCCACACCCCCACUCACUGUACUGAUAUGUGGUCACACCCCCAUACAUGGUAACCCUCUUGACCACACCCCAAUCCUAUGCUGUGUUUUUGUGUACAGUACACACAUCAUCCGUGUCUUUAUCCCCACACCUAGUCGGAGGGAGCAGCAAGUUCUACUAAGAGCCAGCAUCACCCACUAACCAACACUCUACAAGACCUACCUACUACCAGCUAGGACAGCACACCACCCGGGACAGACUCUACUAUACCCAUGUAAUACGCCUUUGUAUUACGAUCAUGAUACAAUUUGCUGCCCUCCCUCGCCAAUGGAUUGAAUAAUUAUGGACACUCGCAGGACAACUAAGAGACUGACACACAAUAAUAGACACCAAAGGCAGUGUAUGUGAUUUUCUGACAGGAAAGGCUACUCUAAACAAAGGGAGUCGGCCACACAAGUCGGAGGGAGCAGCAAGUUCUACUAAGAGCCAGCAUCACCAACUAACCAACACUACAAGACCUACCUACUACCAGCUAGGACAGCACACCACCCGGGACAGACUCUACUAUACCAUGUAAUACGCCUUUUUAUUACGAUCAUGAUACAAUUUGCUGCCCUCCCUUGCCCAUGGAUUGAAUAAUUAUGGACACUCGCAGGACAACUAAGAGACUGACACACAAUAAUAGACACCUAACUGCAUUUUUGCCAUUAAUAUAAUAAAAAUAAUUUUGCCAUUAA